GUUCACCCCAGCCUGACGUCUGUCCUGUCCUGCCCGGGGAGUGCAGCAGGGCCAGUCCCCCUCCCCCAGGCCUGUAAAUGGAGCUUCUGAGGACGGAGAUGAUGGAGGCCGAGGGAGAGGAGAGACUUCUGAUUUCGCAGAAUCAGAAGAGCAGCUGUGUGUGAACGAGAAAGGACAUUUAAGCGGGGCUCCUCCCUCACUCCACGGUGGAUGUGGGUCAGAAAGUUCUGGGUGGCCCCAAGCAGCAUCACACUGCUCCACCCACACGUUCGCUGGCCUGUGAGCUCUCUCUCCAACUAGGUCAGGACGCUUGGAAAUGCCACACACAGCGGGGUGACUCCUGGUUCCCAUCUACCACAUGAACUUGGAGCACACGGCAGCCACUUUGUCCAUAUCCAUCUUUAACAUGCCCCGCGCCAGACUGCAGAACGAUCCCCAAGGAGUGGACGCGAACG
Molecule: long non-coding RNA, 455 nt
Organism: Lynx canadensis (Canada lynx)
Lineage: Eukaryota; Metazoa; Chordata; Mammalia; Carnivora; Felidae
Exons: 4
Source: RefSeq, a predicted model, not a curated record